Molecule: ribosomal RNA, 543 nt
Filed under: uncultured bacterium
Lineage: Bacteria
Description: partial 16S ribosomal RNA
Rfam family: Bacterial small subunit ribosomal RNA
Source: RNAcentral
UGGGGAAUUUUGGACAAUGGGCGAAAGCCUGAUCCAGCAAUGCCGCGUGUGUGAAGAAGGCCUUCGGGUUGUAAAGCACUUUUGUCCGGAAAGAAAUCCUUGGCUCUAAUACAGUCGGGGGAUGACGGUACCGGAAGAAUAGGCACCGGCUAACUACGUGCCAGCAGCCGCGGUAAUACGUAGGGUGCAAGCGUUAAUCGGAAUUACUGGGCGUAAAGCGUGCGCAGGCGGUUUGCUAAGACCGAUGUGAAAUCCCCGGGCUCAACCUGGGAACUGCAUUGGUGACUGGCAGGCUAGAGUAUGGCAGAGGGGGGUAGAAUUCCACGUGUAGCAGUGAAAUGCGUAGAGAUGUGGAGGAAUACCGAUGGCGAAGGCAGCCCCCUGGGCCAAUACUGACGCUCAUGCACGAAAGCGUGGGGAGCAAACAGGAUUAGAUACCCUGGUAGUCCACGCCCUAAACGAUGUCAACUAGUUGUGGGAUUCAUUCUUAGUAACGUAGCUAACGCGUGAAGUUGACCGCCUGGGGAGUACGGUCGCAAGAUU